This 29-nucleotide non-coding RNA is filed under the name Bombyx mori (domestic silkworm). The record is from RNAcentral. Lineage: Eukaryota; Metazoa; Arthropoda; Insecta; Lepidoptera; Bombycidae.
UAGUACGAUAUACGAACAUACAGCUGAAA